This 160-nucleotide unclassified non-coding RNA is filed under the name uncultured Helotiales. RNAcentral's name for it is "sequence contains ITS1". Lineage: Eukaryota; Fungi; Ascomycota; Leotiomycetes; Helotiales. The record is from RNAcentral.
CAGAGUUCAUGCCCUUACGGGUAGAUCUCCCACCCUUGAAAUAUCUACCUUUGUUGCUUUGGCAGGCCGCGGCCUCCGCUACCGGCUUCGGCUGGUGAGUGCCUGCCAGAGGACCCCAAACUCUGAAUAUUAAUGUCGUCUGAGUACUAUAUAAUAGUUA